This 359-nucleotide unclassified non-coding RNA is filed under the name Hevea brasiliensis (rubber tree). Lineage: Eukaryota; Viridiplantae; Streptophyta; Magnoliopsida; Malpighiales; Euphorbiaceae. The record is from RNAcentral.
UCAGUUCUGUUAGAGGGCAUAACCAAGAAGUCACAAGGAUCAGUAUCCCUUCCUGAUCUUCCCAAGGUACCAAAAGUGACAAGUGGCCCAAAGGCCUCUGAGUUAAAAGCCAAGAUAGAGGCUGAGCAGCAUGCCCUUCGUCGAAUGCGUAUGUGCCUCAGAGAUAUUUGCAAUCGGAUACUGUAUGACAAACGAUUUAGUGCCUUCCACUAUCCCGUCACAGACGAAGAUGCUCCAAAUUAUCGCUCAAUAAUCCAGAAUCCUAUGGACAUGGGUACUCUACUGCAGCGUGUUGACUCUUGUCAGUAUAUCACGUGCUCAGCAUUCUUGCAAGACAUUGAUCUCAUCGUGACCAAUGC